RNAcentral lists this ribosomal RNA (108 nucleotides) under Gadus morhua (Atlantic cod). The record is from RNAcentral. Lineage: Eukaryota; Metazoa; Chordata; Actinopteri; Gadiformes; Gadidae.
ACUACGGUCUUACCAACAUGGACACACCUGAUCUCGGAAGCUAUGCAUGGCCGGGCCUGGUUAGUACUUGGAAGGGAGACCGCCUGGGAAUACCAGGUGAUGUAAGUG